RNAcentral lists this ribosomal RNA (645 nucleotides) under uncultured actinomycete. Its description in RNAcentral is "bacterial SSU rRNA". It matches the Rfam family "Bacterial small subunit ribosomal RNA", at positions 232 to 885 of the family's 1533-position model. The record is from RNAcentral. Lineage: Bacteria; Bacillati; Actinomycetota; Actinomycetes; Actinomycetales.
CGCGGCCUAUCAGCUUGUUGGUGGGGUAACGGCCCACCAAGGCCGAGACGGGUAGCUGGUCUGAGAGGACGACCAGCCACACUGGGACUGAGACACGGCCCAGACUCCUACGGGAGGCAGCAGCAGGGAAUCUUGCGCAAUGGGCGAAAGCCUGACGCAGCGACGCCGCGUGGGGGAUGAAGGCCCUCGGGUUGUAAACCCCUUUCAGGAGGGACGAAGCGAAAGUGACGGUACCUCCAGAAGAAGCCCCGGCCAACUACGUGCCAGCAGCCGCGGUAAUACGUAGGGGGCGAGCGUUGUCCGGAUUUAUUGGGCGUAAAGAGCUCGUAGGCGGCUCAGCAAGUCGGCCGUGAAAACCCAGGGCUCAACCCUGGGAUGCCGGUCGAUACUGCUGUGGCUAGGGUCCGGUAGAGGAGCGUGGAAUUCCCGGUGUAGCGGUGAAAUGCGCAGAUAUCGGGAGGAACACCAGUAGCGAAGGCGGCGCUCUGGGCCGGCACCGACGCUGAGGAGCGAAAGCUAGGGGAGUAAACAGGAUUAGAUACCCUGGUAGUCCUAGCCGUAAACGUUGGGCACUAGGUGUGGCGGAUGCAUUCACGUCUGCUGCGCCGUAGCUAACGCAUUAAGUGCCCCGCCUGGGGAGUACGG